GAUCAGCAGUUUCACCAUUCCUUGCAAUUCUGAAGAUGGGUCCUUGUCAGGUCCACGAGGACUUGACGAAUAACUAAGGUUUUGUCGAUAUAGGCUACAACUGGACCCUCAAAUAUGUGUGACAAGAACUUCAUUGAUGAAAACAAAACCUUUAUCAAUUGAGAGAAAAAUACCUGUAUAGCCACUAACCUAGCCAGCCAGAAAUUCUAUAUCGUAUAGGGGGAAAGCAUAUUUCCAUACAUUCGGUGAUGAGGGUCGGAUUUUCAUCAAGCGAUUUCCUACAACUUCCUUUGGCACAAAGAGCAAGCAUUCUGUUCUCAUCUACAAAGUUUUUGCACUUAAGCCAGCAGUAAACCAGCAAACUACUCUGAUCCUUCCCCCAAACAGAACUUGCAGAAGAGGUACCUAUCUGCCUUUACAUACCCACAUAGAAGCCACCGAAGGAGAUGGAAGCCCUCCUAGGCCAGCCAGAGCAAAGGUAGCAUGCU
Molecule: long non-coding RNA, 488 nt
Organism: Callorhinus ursinus (northern fur seal)
Lineage: Eukaryota; Metazoa; Chordata; Mammalia; Carnivora; Otariidae
Source: RefSeq, a predicted model, not a curated record